ACGCUGGCGGCGUGCCUAAUACAUGCAAGUCGAACGCACAGCGAAAGGUGCUUGCACCUUUCAAGUGAGUGGCGAACGGGUGAGUAACACGUGGACAACCUGCCUCAAGGCUGGGGAUAACAUUUGGAAACAGAUGCUAAUACCGAAUAAAACUUAGUGUCGCAUGACACAAAGUUAAAAGGCGCUUCGGCGUCACCUAGAGAUGGAUCCGCGGUGCAUUAGUUAGUUGGUGGGGUAAAGGCCUACCAAGACAAUGAUGCAUAGCCGAGUUGAGAGACUGAUCGGCCACAUUGGGACUGAGACACGGCCCAAACUCCUACGGGAGGCUGCAGUAGGGAAUCUUCCACAAUGGGCGAAAGCCUGAUGGAGCAACGCCGCGUGUGUGAUGAAGGCUUUCGGGUCGUAAAGCACUGUUGUAUGGGAAGAACAGCUAGAAUAGGAAAUGAUUUUAGUUUGACGGUACCACACCAGAAAGGGACGGCUAAAUGCGUGCCAGCAGCCGCGGUAAUACGUAUGUCCCGAGCGUUAUCCGGAUUUAUUGGGCGUAAAGCGAGCGCAGACGGUUUAUUAAGUCUGAUGUGAAAGCCCGGAGCUCAACUCCGGAAUGGCAUUGGAAACUGGUUAACUUGAGUGCAGUAGAGGUAAGUGGAACUCCAUGUGUAGCGGUGGAAUGCGUAGAUAUAUGGAAGAACACCAGUGGCGAAGGCGGCUUACUGGACUGCAACUGACGUUGAGGCUCGAAAGUGUGGGUAGCAAAC
RNAcentral lists this ribosomal RNA (758 nucleotides) under uncultured bacterium. RNAcentral's name for it is "bacterial SSU rRNA". It matches the Rfam family "Bacterial small subunit ribosomal RNA", at positions 33 to 773 of the family's 1533-position model. The record is from RNAcentral.